ACGCUCGACACCUACGGGAGGCAGCAGUGGGGGAUAUUGCACAAUGGGGGAAACCCUGAUGCAGCAACGCCGCGUGUGGGAAGAAGGUUUUCGGAUUGUAAACCACUGUUCUCAGGGACGAUAAUGACGGUACCUGAGGAGAAAGCUCCGGCUAACUACGUACCAGCAGCCGCGGUAAUCUGAGCGGGCUGGCAAGGC
This 198-nucleotide ribosomal RNA is filed under the name uncultured bacterium. Its description in RNAcentral is "partial 16S ribosomal RNA". It matches the Rfam family "Bacterial small subunit ribosomal RNA", at positions 328 to 539 of the family's 1533-position model. The record is from RNAcentral.